AUUUUAGAGGAAGUAAAAGUCGUAACAAGGUUUCCGUUGGUGAACCAGCGGAGGGAUCAUU
RNAcentral lists this ribosomal RNA (61 nucleotides) under Diaporthe ampelina. RNAcentral describes it as "partial 18S ribosomal RNA". It matches the Rfam family "Eukaryotic small subunit ribosomal RNA", at positions 1770 to 1830 of the family's 1831-position model. The record is from RNAcentral. Lineage: Eukaryota; Fungi; Ascomycota; Sordariomycetes; Diaporthales; Diaporthaceae.